GGUGCCUACGGGACGCAGCAGCGGGGAAUAUUGCGCAAUGGACGAAAGUCUGACGCAGCGACGCCGCGUGAGGGAUGAAGGUUUUCGGAUCGUAAACCUCUGCCAGGAGGGAAGAAAGCGUAUGGCGCCAAUCAGCCAUGCGUUGACGGUACCUCCAAAGGAAGCGCCGGCUAACUCCGUGCCAGCAGCCGCGGUAAUACGGAGGGCGCGAGCGUUAAUCGGAAUUACUGGGCGUAAAGCGCGCGUAGGCUGUUGUGUAAGUUGGGGGUGAAAUCCCACGGCUCAACCGUGGAACA
This 296-nucleotide ribosomal RNA is filed under the name uncultured bacterium. RNAcentral describes it as "partial 16S ribosomal RNA". It matches the Rfam family "Bacterial small subunit ribosomal RNA", at positions 334 to 622 of the family's 1533-position model. The record is from RNAcentral.